Molecule: unclassified non-coding RNA, 404 nt
Filed under: soil metagenome
Description: partial contains 5.8S ribosomal RNA, internal transcribed spacer 2, and large subunit ribosomal RNA
Rfam family: 5.8S ribosomal RNA (bases 1-122)
Source: RNAcentral
GAUGAAGAACGCAGCAAAAUGCGAUACUUGGUGUGAAUUGCAGAAUCCCGUGAACCAUCGAGUUUUUGAACGCAAGUUGCGCCCAAAGCCUUUUGGCCGAGGGCACGUCUGCCUGGGCGUCACGCAUCGCGUCGCCCCCCACAAUUCUUCGUAAAGGGAACAUGUGUUUUGGGGGCGGAUAUUGGUCUCCCGUGCUCAUGGCGUGGUUGGCCGAAAUAGGAGUCCUUUCGAUGGACGCACGAACUAGUGGUGGUCGUAAAACCCCUCGUCUUUUGUUUCGUGCUGUUGCUCGCAAGGUAAACUCUUUAAAAACCCCAAUGUGUCGUCUCUUGACGACGCUUCGACCGCGACCCCAGGUCAGGCGGGACUACCCGCUGAGUUUAAGCAUAUCAAUAAGCGGAGGA